This is a long non-coding RNA of Canis lupus familiaris (dog), 979 nucleotides long. RefSeq lists it as uncharacterized. The transcript is spliced from 3 exons. Lineage: Eukaryota; Metazoa; Chordata; Mammalia; Carnivora; Canidae. The record is from RefSeq and is a predicted model, not a curated record.
GCAGACUCUGUAAAGACCCGGAGCACUUGCAGGCAAAACUAAAAUGCACACACACCCCCUUUUACUUUUUCUUUUUCUUUCUUUUCUUCUUCUUCUUUUUUUUUUUUUUUAUAAAAGAAAGAAAAGAAAAUCAUUAACUGGGUUCAGAUCUAAAAUGCUGCUUUUAAAAUGCACGCACAUGUUGAAGACUCAGCGACUGUAAUUUCUUGGGUAAACAUCUGGUGAAGACAUUCCAGGAACACAUCUGAAAGGAAGAAAGGCCCAACUUAGCAUCCAGAGACCGUGCGUCGUCUGGCCUCGCAGACCUUUCCGAGACGUCUGGCGUCCGGGGGACGACUUCCCUGAUCCCAGUCCCUAGUGGACCGCGGACUUUACCAGCUUCAAAGGUCUGGCCUCCAGCGCCGAGGAUGCCGGUGGCGUUAGGGAUGUUGCGCACACCUGCAGAUUUUAAAGCAGCCCACCGGAGAUCAGAUCGGGAGGAUCCGUUUUUCCUUCGGGCUACCUAAUAAAGCAAAGAGCUAGACCUUCACAAAAGGAAAAACAUUUUGUUUAAGCCUGUCCUUUCUUAGGAAGCGCACAGAGACCAGGCCCACCGAUAUUCCGGAUAAACUUAACGCUACCAGAAAUGUGCGGUGCAUUUGACUUGGGCUGGGGACUCAUUGAAGACCAGACUCUUAGAGUUAAACUCGCCUCUCUCUUUUUUGUUUCCAUUGCUCUAGUUUUCCUCCGGUCUCUUUCCUUCUCAGUGUUCCCUACCUCCUGAAGUGAGUUAAUAAAAACAUCACCCCAUUAUAUAUACAUAUAUAAAGUAGACACUAAAAUUGAGAGUUAAUGUUGCAACCAAACUCUUCGGGAAUCUACCGGUCUGUUCACUGCAUCUUUGCCGCUUGUAAUGACAGCCACUAUUGUUCCUAAACUUCACCAAACUAGUUCUUUCAAGUUCUUUGAGAAAGUGUAAUAAACGCUAAUUGGAAAAACA